CUGCUGCUUUGUGUGCCCAGCUCCAUUUGCCCAGUCUGCCCGCCUCCGUGACCCUCCGCAGCACCGGCUGGAGCUCCGCAGCGCAUGAGCAUGGAGCUGCUGCAGAAGAAAGAAGCAGCGUGUGGAACUGGAAGGCUACAGCGAGCAAGAGGAGGAAGCGGAAGCCUGUGGAUGGGGGGGAAAGAGAGAGGCUCUCUGGGCAAAAGCACCUCCCUGUUAGCGGGGACACAGUCAUGUUUCGGUAGAGCGCUGCCGGCACCUUGGGUGACCAGGCCGGGUUUGUGCUGGGCGACCUCCCUGUAAGCAGGGCUCGGGUCUUUGCUGUAGCUGGCCUUUUGCCUUGUUGCUCCUUUGGCUGCCUGGGGAGCGUGGCCCCCCGUACGGAGGGCGAGAGCCACCUCUCCGCACCUGAGUGGGAAAUGGAGCUCGCCGUACCCCACGGCCACCCUGUAAGCAGGGUAGGUGCCGUUUCCCUGCCCCUCUUCUCCCGGCCCCUUGGCGUUGCUGCCUGCUGGUGGCCAGUCAAUGCAACGGCCCUGUACUCGGGGUGCGUGUCACAGCCCUUUGCCUUAGCUCAGAACCCUCUUGGCACGUUGAGGUCUGUGGCCUCCGUGCAGCCUGGGGUCACGUCACAGGCUCUUUCCUGUUGCUUGUGGUUGUGGGUUUAUUCCCAGGUGUAGGCUGCGCUGCGUUGUCCUUCCCUUCUGGAAAGUCACAUCUGUGUGUGUGUUCCCCUUCCUUUCCUUGUUUGUGUUUGUGGAGUGACUGUGCAAUUGAACUUUCCUGUUAGGCCUCCACAAAAAAGGCUGCAGCUUAGCUUGGACUUCCCAGGGGGGAAUGGAGGACUUGAUGCGUGGCACAAGUGGGAUGUUCCCUCUUAGUCCCAUGAGCGCAGCGAGUGUCCUGUCACGCCCCCUUUUUUUUAGGACAGAUGAGAGCCACAAGAUAGUUCAGUGGCCAUGGCCACCCUGUAGCCAGGGCUUCGGCCUGUCUCUGCGUGGCCGCCUGCUGGUGGCCAGUCAAUGCAACGGCCCUGUACUCGGGGUGCGUGUCACAAGCUGUUGAGCCCUCUGUCCCCAGAGCAGCCCAGCCCCGCUGUAGUCAGGUCUGGGGAGGCUGCUUUAGCCAGCCAGUUGGUGGGAAUGACCCCUCCCUGUCCCGUUAGAGGGUGCAGGUUGAGGUGCUGCUUGUAGCUGGAGCGACCUCCCCGCUCGGUGGGUCGAGGUUGUUCCCUGGGCUCCCAGAGACGUGAUGUUGUGCUGCAGCCGGGCGGGCCCGCCUGUAGCUCAGGCGUUGGUGGGAGCUGUGUGCUCCGUGGGGCUUCUUGGCGAUGGUGAGAUGUUGGGCACCGUCCUGUAGCCAGGGCUGUGUGUGCCCCGUGUGUUUGGUGAGCUGUGUUCUGAGAGAAGACCCCCUGUAGUCAGGCGGGUAUGUGGCCCUGGCCUUUCAGAGGCACAGGGCCGAUAGAUGUGAGAUUGGGCUUGCACCCUCCCUGCAUUUGGGGCCUGGAUUGCGCCCGCGGCCUUUGGCCGUGCUGUCCCGCUGCCUGGCUGCUGAGUGUCGUUCCUGCUGCUGGGGGGGAAACCGAGCUCUGUGGCUCCGUGGGUGUUGUCGCCCCGCCUGUAACCAGGGUCUGGGUGCAGGAGCCUUUGUGCUCUGCUGGCAGCCUGUGUACACCAGAAUGGGAGAGAAGGAGCCUCCCUCAGCCUACGGACCAGGGCUGCCCUGUAAGUCAGGGAUUGGCCGUGCCUUGGAGUCCCAGGCCCUUUGCAAUGGAGGCAGCGUCAGGGGACCCCUGUAAGCAGGGAAGUUGACCCUUUGGCUGCUGCUUUUUGUGUGCCCAGCUCCAUUUGCCCAGUCUGCCCGCCUCCGUGACCCUCCGCAGCACCGGCUGGAGCUCCGCAGCGCAUGAGCAUGGAGCUGCUGCAGAAGAAAGAAGCAGCGUGUGGAACUGGAAGGCUACAGCGAGCAAGAGGAGGAAGCGGAAGCCUGUGGAUGGGGGGGAAAGAGAGAGGCUCUCUGGGCAAAAGCACCUCCCUGUUAGCGGGGACACAGUCAUGUUUCGGUAGAGCGCUGCCGGCACCUUGGGUGACCAGGCCGGGUUUGUGCUGGGCGACCUCCCUGUAAGCAGGGCUCGGGUCUUUGCUGUAGCUGGCCUUUUGCCUUGUUGCUCCUUUGGCUGCCUGGGGAGCGUGGCCCCCCGUACGGAGGGCGAGAGCCACCUCUCCGCACCUGAGUGGGAAAUGGAGCUCGCCGUACCCCACGGCCACCCUGUAAGCAGGGUAGGUGCCGUUUCCCUGCCCCUCUUCUCCCGGCCCUUUGGCGUUGCUGCCUGCUGGUGGCCAGUCAAUGCAACGGCCCUGUACUCGGGGUGCGUGUCACAAGCUGUUGAGCCCUCUGUCCCCAGAGCAGCCCAGCCCCGCUGUAGUCAGGUCUGGGGAGGCUGCUUUAGCCAGCCAGUUGGUGGGAAUGACCCCUCCCUGUCCCGUUAGAGGGUGCAGGUUGAGGUGCUGCUUGUAGCUGGAGCGACCUCCCCGCUCGGUGGGUCGAGGUUGUUCCCUGGGCUCCCAGAGACGUGAUGUUGUGCUGCAGCCGGGCGGGCCCGCCUGUAGCUCAGGCGUUGGUGGGAGCUGUGUGCUCCGUGGGGCUUCUUGGCGAUGGUGAGAUGUUGGGCACCGUCCUGUAGCCAGGGCUGUGUGUGCCCCGUGUGUUUGGUGAGCUGUGUUCUGAGAGAAGACCCCCUGUAGUCAGGCGGGUAUGUGGCCCUGGCCUUUCAGAGGCACAGGGCCGAUAGAUGUGAGAUUGGGCUUGCACCCUCCCUGCAUUUGGGGCCUGGAUUGCGCCCGCGGCCUUUGGCCGUGCUGUCCCGCUGCCUGGCUGCUGAGUGUCGUUCCUGCUGCUGGGGGGGAAACCGAGCUCUGUGGCUCCGUGGGUGUUGUCGCCCCGCCUGUAACCAGGGUCUGGGUGCAGGAGCCUUUGUGCUCUGCUGGCAGCCUGUGUACACCAGAAUGGGAGAGAAGGAGCCUCCCUCAGCCUACGGACCAGGGCUGCCCUGUAAGUCAGGGAUUGGCCGUGCCUUGGAGUCCCAGGCCCUUUGCAAUGGAGGCAGCGUCAGGGGACCCCUGUAAGCAGGGAAGUUGACCCUUUGGCUGCUGCUUUUUGUGUGCCCAGCUCCAUUUGCCCAGUCUGCCCGCCUCCGUGACCCUCCGCAGCACCGGCUGGAGCUCCGCAGCGCAUGAGCAUGGAGCUGCUGCAGAAGAAAGAAGCAGCGUGUGGAACUGGAAGGCUACAGCGAGCAAGAGGAGGAAGCGGAAGCCUGUGGAUGGGGGGGAAAGAGAGAGGCUCUCUGGGCAAAAGCACCUCCCUGUUAGCGGGGACACAGUCAUGUUUCGGUAGAGCGCUGCCGGCACCUUGGGUGACCAGGCCGGGUUUGUGCUGGGCGACCUCCCUGUAAGCAGGGCUCGGGUCUUUGCUGUAGCUGGCCUUUUGCCUUGUUGCUCCUUUGGCUGCCUGGGGAGCGUGGCCCCCCGUACGGAGGGCGAGAGCCACCUCUCCGCACCUGAGUGGGAAAUGGAGCUCGCCGUACCCCACGGCCACCCUGUAAGCAGGGUAGGUGCCGUUUCCCUGCCCCUCUUCUCCCGGCCCUUUGGCGUUGCUGCCUGCUGGUGGCCAGUCAAUGCAACGGCCCUGUACUCGGGGUGCGUGUCACAAGCUGUUGAGCCCUCUGUCCCCAGAGCAGCCCAGCCCCGCUGUAGUCAGGUCUGGGGAGGCUGCUUUAGCCAGCCAGUUGGUGGGAAUGACCCCUCCCUGUCCCGUUAGAGGGUGCAGGUUGAGGUGCUGCUUGUAGCUGGAGCGACCUCCCCGCUCGGUGGGUCGAGGUUGUUCCCUGGGCUCCCAGAGACGUGAUGUUGUGCUGCAGCCGGGCGGGCCCGCCUGUAGCUCAGGCGUUGGUGGGAGCUGUGUGCUCCGUGGGGCUUCUUGGCGAUGGUGAGAUGUUGGGCACCGUCCUGUAGCCAGGGCUGUGUGUGCCCCGUGUGUUUGGUGAGCUGUGUUCUGAGAGAAGACCCCCUGUAGUCAGGCGGGUAUGUGGCCCUGGCCUUUCAGAGGCACAGGGCCGAUAGAUGUGAGAUUGGGCUUGCACCCUCCCUGCAUUUGGGGCCUGGAUUGCGCCCGCGGCCUUUGGCCGUGCUGUCCCGCUGCCUGGCUGCUGAGUGUCGUUCCUGCUGCUGGGGGGGAAACCGAGCUCUGUGGCUCCGUGGGUGUUGUCGCCCCGCCUGUAACCAGGGUCUGGGUGCAGGAGCCUUUGUGCUCUGCUGGCAGCCUGUGUACACCAGAAUGGGAGAGAAGGAGCCUCCCUCAGCCUACGGACCAGGGCUGCCCUGUAAGUCAGGGAUUGGCCGUGCCUUGGAGUCCCAGGCCCUUUGCAAUGGAGGCAGCGUCAGGGGACCCCUGUAAGCAGGGAAGUUGACCCUUUGGCUGCUGCUUUUUGUGUGCCCAGCUCCAUUUGCCCAGUCUGCCCGCCUCCGUGACCCUCCGCAGCACCGGCUGGAGCUCCGCAGCGCAUGAGCAUGGAGCUGCUGCAGAAGAAAGAAGCAGCGUGUGGAACUGGAAGGCUACAGCGAGCAAGAGGAGGAAGCGGAAGCCUGUGGAUGGGGGGGAAAGAGAGAGGCUCUCUGGGCAAAAGCACCUCCCUGUUAGCGGGGACACAGUCAUGUUUCGGUAGAGCGCUGCCGGCACCUUGGGUGACCAGGCCGGGUUUGUGCUGGGCGACCUCCCUGUAAGCAGGGCUCGGGUCUUUGCUGUAGCUGGCCUUUUGCCUUGUUGCUCCUUUGGCUGCCUGGGGAGCGUGGCCCCCCGUACGGAGGGCGAGAGCCACCUCUCCGCACCUGAGUGGGAAAUGGAGCUCGCCGUACCCCACGGCCACCCUGUAAGCAGGGUAGGUGCCGUUUCCCUGCCCCUCUUCUCCCGGCCCUUUGGCGUUGCUGCCUGCUGGUGGCCAGUCAAUGCAAUGGCCCUGUACUCGGGGUGCGUGUCACAGCCCUUUGCCUUAGCUCAGAACCCUCUUGGCACGUUGAGGUCUGUGGCCUCCGUGCAGCCUGGGGUCACGUCACAGGCUCUUUCCUGUUGCUUGUGGUUGUGGGUUUAUUCCCAGGUGUAGGCUGCGCUGCGUUGUCCUUCCCUUCUGGAAAGUCACAUCUGUGUGUGUGUUCCCCUUCCUUUCCUUGUUUGUGUUUGUGGAGUGACUGUGCGAUUGAACUUUCCUGUUAGGCCUCCACAAAAAAGGCUGCAGCUUAGCUUGGACUUCCCAGGGGGGAAUGGAGGACUUGAUGCGUGGCACAAGUGGGAUGUUCCCUCUUAGUCCCAUGAGCGCAGCGAGUGUCCUGUCACGCCCCCUUUUUUUUUAGGACAGAUGAGAGCCACAAGAUAGUUCAGUGGCCAUGGCCACCCUGUAGCCAGGGCUUCGGCCUGUCUCUGCGUGGCCGCCUGCUGGUGGCCAGUCAAUGCAACGGCCCUGUACUCGGGGUGCGUGUCACAAGCUGUUGAGCCCUCUGUCCCCAGAGCAGCCCAGCCCCGCUGUAGUCAGGUCUGGGGAGGCUGCUUUAGCCAGCCAGUUGGUGGGAAUGACCCCUCCCUGUCCCGUUAGAGGGUGCAGGUUGAGGUGCUGCUUGUAGCUGGAGCGACCUCCCCGCUCGGUGGGUCGAGGUUGUUCCCUGGGCUCCCAGAGACGUGAUGUUGUGCUGCAGCCGGGCGGGCCCGCCUGUAGCUCAGGCGUUGGUGGGAGCUGUGUGCUCCGUGGGGCUUCUUGGCGAUGGUGAGAUGUUGGGCACCGUCCUGUAGCCAGGGCUGUGUGUGCCCCGUGUGUUUGGUGAGCUGUGUUCUGAGAGAAGACCCCCUGUAGUCAGGCGGGUAUGUGGCCCUGGCCUUUCAGAGGCACAGGGCCGAUAGAUGUGAGAUUGGGCUUGCACCCUCCCUGCAUUUGGGGCCUGGAUUGCGCCCGCGGCCUUUGGCCGUGCUGUCCCGCUGCCUGGCUGCUGAGUGUCGUUCCUGCUGCUGGGGGGGAAACCGAGCUCUGUGGCUCCGUGGGUGUUGUCGCCCCGCCUGUAACCAGGGUCUGGGUGCAGGAGCCUUUGUGCUCUGCUGGCAGCCUGUGUACACCAGAAUGGGAGAGAAGGAGCCUCCCUCAGCCUACGGACCAGGGCUGCCCUGUAAGUCAGGGAUUGGCCGUGCCUUGGAGUCCCAGGCCCUUUGCAAUGGAGGCAGCGUCAGGGGACCCCUGUAAGCAGGGAAGUUGACCCUUUGGCUGCUGCUUUUUGUGUGCCCAGCUCCAUUUGCCCAGUCUGCCCGCCUCCGUGACCCUCCGCAGCACCGGCUGGAGCUCCGCAGCGCAUGAGCAUGGAGCUGCUGCAGAAGAAAGAAGCAGCGUGUGGAACUGGAAGGCUACAGCGAGCAAGAGGAGGAAGCGGAAGCCUGUGGAUGGGGGGGAAAGAGAGAGGCUCUCUGGGCAAAAGCACCUCCCUGUUAGCGGGGACACAGUCAUGUUUCGGUAGAGCGCUGCCGGCACCUUGGGUGACCAGGCCGGGUUUGUGCUGGGCGACCUCCCUGUAAGCAGGGCUCGGGUCUUUGCUGUAGCUGGCCUUUUGCCUUGUUGCUCCUUUGGCUGCCUGGGGAGCGUGGCCCCCCGUACGGAGGGCGAGAGCCACCUCUCCGCACCUGAGUGGGAAAUGGAGCUCGCCGUACCCCACGGCCACCCUGUAAGCAGGGUAGGUGCCGUUUCCCUGCCCCUCUUCUCCCGGCCCUUUGGCGUUGCUGCCUGCUGGUGGCCAGUCAAUGCAACGGCCCUGUACUCGGGGUGCGUGUCACAAGCUGUUGAGCCCUCUGUCCCCAGAGCAGCCCAGCCCCGCUGUAGUCAGGUCUGGGGAGGCUGCUUUAGCCAGCCAGUUGGUGGGAAUGACCCCUCCCUGUCCCGUUAGAGGGUGCAGGUUGAGGUGCUGCUUGUAGCUGGAGCGACCUCCCCGCUCGGUGGGUCGAGGUUGUUCCCUGGGCUCCCAGAGACGUGAUGUUGUGCUGCAGCCGGGCGGGCCCGCCUGUAGCUCAGGCGUUGGUGGGAGCUGUGUGCUCCGUGGGGCUUCUUGGCGAUGGUGAGAUGUUGGGCACCGUCCUGUAGCCAGGGCUGUGUGUGCCCCGUGUGUUUGGUGAGCUGUGUUCUGAGAGAAGACCCCCUGUAGUCAGGCGGGUAUGUGGCCCUGGCCUUUCAGAGGCACAGGGCCGAUAGAUGUGAGAUUGGGCUUGCACCCUCCCUGCAUUUGGGGCCUGGAUUGCGCCCGCGGCCUUUGGCCGUGCUGUCCCGCUGCCUGGCUGCUGAGUGUCGUUCCUGCUGCUGGGGGGGAAACCGAGCUCUGUGGCUCCGUGGGUGUUGUCGCCCCGCCUGUAACCAGGGUCUGGGUGCAGGAGCCUUUGUGCUCUGCUGGCAGCCUGUGUACACCAGAAUGGGAGAGAAGGAGCCUCCCUCAGCCUACGGACCAGGGCUGCCCUGUAAGUCAGGGAUUGGCCGUGCCUUGGAGUCCCAGGCCCUUUGCAAUGGAGGCAGCGUCAGGGGACCCCUGUAAGCAGGGAAGUUGACCCUUUGGCUGCUGCUUUUUGUGUGCCCAGCUCCAUUUGCCCAGUCUGCCCGCCUCCGUGACCCUCCGCAGCACCGGCUGGAGCUCCGCAGCGCAUGAGCAUGGAGCUGCUGCAGAAGAAAGAAGCAGCGUGUGGAACUGGAAGGCUACAGCGAGCAAGAGGAGGAAGCGGAAGCCUGUGGAUGGGGGGGAAAGAGAGAGGCUCUCUGGGCAAAAGCACCUCCCUGUUAGCGGGGACACAGUCAUGUUUCGGUAGAGCGCUGCCGGCACCUUGGGUGACCAGGCCGGGUUUGUGCUGGGCGACCUCCCUGUAAGCAGGGCUCGGGUCUUUGCUGUAGCUGGCCUUUUGCCUUGUUGCUCCUUUGGCUGCCUGGGGAGCGUGGCCCCCCGUACGGAGGGCGAGAGCCACCUCUCCGCACCUGAGUGGGAAAUGGAGCUCGCCGUACCCCACGGCCACCCUGUAAGCAGGGUAGGUGCCGUUUCCCUGCCCCUCUUCUCCCGGCCCUUUGGCGUUGCUGCCUGCUGGUGGCCAGUCAAUGCAAUGGCCCUGUACUCGGGGUGCGUGUCACAGCCCUUUGCCUUAGCUCAGAACCCUCUUGGCACGUUGAGGUCUGUGGCCUCCGUGCAGCCUGGGGUCACGUCACAGGCUCUUUCCUGUUGCUUGUGGUUGUGGGUUUAUUCCCAGGUGUAGGCUGCGCUGCGUUGUCCUUCCCUUCUGGAAAGUCACAUCUGUGUGUGUGUUCCCCUUCCUUUCCUUGUUUGUGUUUGUGGAGUGACUGUGCGAUUGAACUUUCCUGUUAGGCCUCCACAAAAAAGGCUGCAGCUUAGCUUGGACUUCCCAGGGGGGAAUGGAGGACUUGAUGCGUGGCACAAGUGGGAUGUUCCCUCUUAGUCCCAUGAGCGCAGCGAGUGUCCUGUCACGCCCCCUUUUUUUUUAGGACAGAUGAGAGCCACAAGAUAGUUCAGUGGCCAUGGCCACCCUGUAGCCAGGGCUUCGGCCUGUCUCUGCGUGGCCGCCUGCUGGUGGCCAGUCAAUGCAACGGCCCUGUACUCGGGGUGCGUGUCACAAGCUGUUGAGCCCUCUGUCCCCAGAGCAGCCCAGCCCCGCUGUAGUCAGGUCUGGGGAGGCUGCUUUAGCCAGCCAGUUGGUGGGAAUGACCCCUCCCUGUCCCGUUAGAGGGUGCAGGUUGAGGUGCUGCUUGUAGCUGGAGCGACCUCCCCGCUCGGUGGGUCGAGGUUGUUCCCUGGGCUCCCAGAGACGUGAUGUUGUGCUGCAGCCGGGCGGGCCCGCCUGUAGCUCAGGCGUUGGUGGGAGCUGUGUGCUCCGUGGGGCUUCUUGGCGAUGGUGAGAUGUUGGGCACCGUCCUGUAGCCAGGGCUGUGUGUGCCCCGUGUGUUUGGUGAGCUGUGUUCUGAGAGAAGACCCCCUGUAGUCAGGCGGGUAUGUGGCCCUGGCCUUUCAGAGGCACAGGGCCGAUAGAUGUGAGAUUGGGCUUGCACCCUCCCUGCAUUUGGGGCCUGGAUUGCGCCCGCGGCCUUUGGCCGUGCUGUCCCGCUGCCUGGCUGCUGAGUGUCGUUCCUGCUGCUGGGGGGGAAACCGAGCUCUGUGGCUCCGUGGGUGUUGUCGCCCCGCCUGUAACCAGGGUCUGGGUGCAGGAGCCUUUGUGCUCUGCUGGCAGCCUGUGUACACCAGAAUGGGAGAGAAGGAGCCUCCCUCAGCCUACGGACCAGGGCUGCCCUGUAAGUCAGGGAUUGGCCGUGCCUUGGAGUCCCAGGCCCUUUGCAAUGGAGGCAGCGUCAGGGGACCCCUGUAAGCAGGGAAGUUGACCCUUUGGCUGCUGCUUUUUGUGUGCCCAGCUCCAUUUGCCCAGUCUGCCCGCCUCCGUGACCCUCCGCAGCACCGGCUGGAGCUCCGCAGCGCAUGAGCAUGGAGCUGCUGCAGAAGAAAGAAGCAGCGUGUGGAACUGGAAGGCUACAGCGAGCAAGAGGAGGAAGCGGAAGCCUGUGGAUGGGGGGGAAAGAGAGAGGCUCUCUGGGCAAAAGCACCUCCCUGUUAGCGGGGACACAGUCAUGUUUCGGUAGAGCGCUGCCGGCACCUUGGGUGACCAGGCCGGGUUUGUGCUGGGCGACCUCCCUGUAAGCAGGGCUCGGGUCUUUGCUGUAGCUGGCCUUUUGCCUUGUUGCUCCUUUGGCUGCCUGGGGAGCGUGGCCCCCCGUACGGAGGGCGAGAGCCACCUCUCCGCACCUGAGUGGGAAAUGGAGCUCGCCGUACCCCACGGCCACCCUGUAAGCAGGGUAGGUGCCGUUUCCCUGCCCCUCUUCUCCCGGCCCUUUGGCGUUGCUGCCUGCUGGUGGCCAGUCAAUGCAACGGCCCUGUACUCGGGGUGCGUGUCACAAGCUGUUGAGCCCUCUGUCCCCAGAGCAGCCCAGCCCCGCUGUAGUCAGGUCUGGGGAGGCUGCUUUAGCCAGCCAGUUGGUGGGAAUGACCCCUCCCUGUCCCGUUAGAGGGUGCAGGUUGAGGUGCUGCUUGUAGCUGGAGCGACCUCCCCGCUCGGUGGGUCGAGGUUGUUCCCUGGGCUCCCAGAGACGUGAUGUUGUGCUGCAGCCGGGCGGGCCCGCCUGUAGCUCAGGCGUUGGUGGGAGCUGUGUGCUCCGUGGGGCUUCUUGGCGAUGGUGAGAUGUUGGGCACCGUCCUGUAGCCAGGGCUGUGUGUGCCCCGUGUGUUUGGUGAGCUGUGUUCUGAGAGAAGACCCCCUGUAGUCAGGCGGGUAUGUGGCCCUGGCCUUUCAGAGGCACAGGGCCGAUAGAUGUGAGAUUGGGCUUGCACCCUCCCUGCAUUUGGGGCCUGGAUUGCGCCCGCGGCCUUUGGCCGUGCUGUCCCGCUGCCUGGCUGCUGAGUGUCGUUCCUGCUGCUGGGGGGGAAACCGAGCUCUGUGGCUCCGUGGGUGUUGUCGCCCCGCCUGUAACCAGGGUCUGGGUGCAGGAGCCUUUGUGCUCUGCUGGCAGCCUGUGUACACCAGAAUGGGAGAGAAGGAGCCUCCCUCAGCCUACGGACCAGGGCUGCCCUGUAAGUCAGGGAUUGGCCGUGCCUUGGAGUCCCAGGCCCUUUGCAAUGGAGGCAGCGUCAGGGGACCCCUGUAAGCAGGGAAGUUGACCCUUUGGCUGCUGCUUUUUGUGUGCCCAGCUCCAUUUGCCCAGUCUGCCCGCCUCCGUGACCCUCCGCAGCACCGGCUGGAGCUCCGCAGCGCAUGAGCAUGGAGCUGCUGCAGAAGAAAGAAGCAGCGUGUGGAACUGGAAGGCUACAGCGAGCAAGAGGAGGAAGCGGAAGCCUGUGGAUGGGGGGGAAAGAGAGAGGCUCUCUGGGCAAAAGCACCUCCCUGUUAGCGGGGACACAGUCAUGUUUCGGUAGAGCGCUGCCGGCACCUUGGGUGACCAGGCCGGGUUUGUGCUGGGCGACCUCCCUGUAAGCAGGGCUCGGGUCUUUGCUGUAGCUGGCCUUUUGCCUUGUUGCUCCUUUGGCUGCCUGGGGAGCGUGGCCCCCCGUACGGAGGGCGAGAGCCACCUCUCCGCACCUGAGUGGGAAAUGGAGCUCGCCGUACCCCACGGCCACCCUGUAAGCAGGGUAGGUGCCGUUUCCCUGCCCCUCUUCUCCCGGCCCUUUGGCGUUGCUGCCUGCUGGUGGCCAGUCAAUGCAAUGGCCCUGUACUCGGGGUGCGUGUCACAGCCCUUUGCCUUAGCUCAGAACCCUCUUGGCACGUUGAGGUCUGUGGCCUCCGUGCAGCCUGGGGUCACGUCACAGGCUCUUUCCUGUUGCUUGUGGUUGUGGGUUUAUUCCCAGGUGUAGGCUGCGCUGCGUUGUCCUUCCCUUCUGGAAAGUCACAUCUGUGUGUGUGUUCCCCUUCCUUUCCUUGUUUGUGUUUGUGGAGUGACUGUGCGAUUGAACUUUCCUGUUAGGCCUCCACAAAAAAGGCUGCAGCUUAGCUUGGACUUCCCAGGGGGGAAUGGAGGACUUGAUGCGUGGCACAAGUGGGAUGUUCCCUCUUAGUCCCAUGAGCGCAGCGAGUGUCCUGUCACGCCCCCUUUUUUUUUAGGACAGAUGAGAGCCACAAGAUAGUUCAGUGGCCAUGGCCACCCUGUAGCCAGGGCUUCGGCCUGUCUCUGCGUGGCCGCCUGCUGGUGGCCAGUCAAUGCAACGGCCCUGUACUCGGGGUGCGUGUCACAAGCUGUUGAGCCCUCUGUCCCCAGAGCAGCCCAGCCCCGCUGUAGUCAGGUCUGGGGAGGCUGCUUUAGCCAGCCAGUUGGUGGGAAUGACCCCUCCCUGUCCCGUUAGAGGGUGCAGGUUGAGGUGCUGCUUGUAGCUGGAGCGACCUCCCCGCUCGGUGGGUCGAGGUUGUUCCCUGGGCUCCCAGAGACGUGAUGUUGUGCUGCAGCCGGGCGGGCCCGCCUGUAGCUCAGGCGUUGGUGGGAGCUGUGUGCUCCGUGGGGCUUCUUGGCGAUGGUGAGAUGUUGGGCACCGUCCUGUAGCCAGGGCUGUGUGUGCCCCGUGUGUUUGGUGAGCUGUGUUCUGAGAGAAGACCCCCUGUAGUCAGGCGGGUAUGUGGCCCUGGCCUUUCAGAGGCACAGGGCCGAUAGAUGUGAGAUUGGGCUUGCACCCUCCCUGCAUUUGGGGCCUGGAUUGCGCCCGCGGCCUUUGGCCGUGCUGUCCCGCUGCCUGGCUGCUGAGUGUCGUUCCUGCUGCUGGGGGGGAAACCGAGCUCUGUGGCUCCGUGGGUGUUGUCGCCCCGCCUGUAACCAGGGUCUGGGUGCAGGAGCCUUUGUGCUCUGCUGGCAGCCUGUGUACACCAGAAUGGGAGAGAAGGAGCCUCCCUCAGCCUACGGACCAGGGCUGCCCUGUAAGUCAGGGAUUGGCCGUGCCUUGGAGUCCCAGGCCCUUUGCAAUGGAGGCAGCGUCAGGGGACCCCUGUAAGCAGGGAAGUUGACCCUUUGGCUGCUGCUUUUUGUGUGCCCAGCUCCAUUUGCCCAGUCUGCCCGCCUCCGUGACCCUCCGCAGCACCGGCUGGAGCUCCGCAGCGCAUGAGCAUGGAGCUGCUGCAGAAGAAAGAAGCAGCGUGUGGAACUGGAAGGCUACAGCGAGCAAGAGGAGGAAGCGGAAGCCUGUGGAUGGGGGGGAAAGAGAGAGGCUCUCUGGGCAAAAGCACCUCCCUGUUAGCGGGGACACAGUCAUGUUUCGGUAGAGCGCUGCCGGCACCUUGGGUGACCAGGCCGGGUUUGUGCUGGGCGACCUCCCUGUAAGCAGGGCUCGGGUCUUUGCUGUAGCUGGCCUUUUGCCUUGUUGCUCCUUUGGCUGCCUGGGGAGCGUGGCCCCCCGUACGGAGGGCGAGAGCCACCUCUCCGCACCUGAGUGGGAAAUGGAGCUCGCCGUACCCCACGGCCACCCUGUAAGCAGGGUAGGUGCCGUUUCCCUGCCCCUCUUCUCCCGGCCCUUUGGCGUUGCUGCCUGCUGGUGGCCAGUCAAUGCAAUGGCCCUGUACUCGGGGUGCGUGUCACAGCCCUUUGCCUUAGCUCAGAACCCUCUUGGCACGUUGAGGUCUGUGGCCUCCGUGCAGCCUGGGGUCACGUCACAGGCUCUUUCCUGUUGCUUGUGGUUGUGGGUUUAUUCCCAGGUGUAGGCUGCGCUGCGUUGUCCUUCCCUUCUGGAAAGUCACAUCUGUGUGUGUGUUCCCCUUCCUUUCCUUGUUUGUGUUUGUGGAGUGACUGUGCGAUUGAACUUUCCUGUUAGGCCUCCACAAAAAAGGCUGCAGCUUAGCUUGGACUUCCCAGGGGGGAAUGGAGGACUUGAUGCGUGGCACAAGUGGGAUGUUCCCUCUUAGUCCCAUGAGCGCAGCGAGUGUCCUGUCACGCCCCCUUUUUUUUUAGGACAGAUGAGAGCCACAAGAUAGUUCAGUGGCCAUGGCCACCCUGUAGCCAGGGCUUCGGCCUGUCUCUGCGUGGCCGCCUGCUGGUGGCCAGUCAAUGCAACGGCCCUGUACUCGGGGUGCGUGUCACAAGCUGUUGAGCCCUCUGUCCCCAGAGCAGCCCAGCCCCGCUGUAGUCAGGUCUGGGGAGGCUGCUUUAGCCAGCCAGUUGGUGGGAAUGACCCCUCCCUGUCCCGUUAGAGGGUGCAGGUUGAGGUGCUGCUUGUAGCUGGAGCGACCUCCCCGCUCGGUGGGUCGAGGUUGUUCCCUGGGCUCCCAGAGACGUGAUGUUGUGCUGCAGCCGGGCGGGCCCGCCUGUAGCUCAGGCGUUGGUGGGAGCUGUGUGCUCCGUGGGGCUUCUUGGCGAUGGUGAGAUGUUGGGCACCGUCCUGUAGCCAGGGCUGUGUGUGCCCCGUGUGUUUGGUGAGCUGUGUUCUGAGAGAAGACCCCCUGUAGUCAGGCGGGUAUGUGGCCCUGGCCUUUCAGAGGCACAGGGCCGAUAGAUGUGAGAUUGGGCUUGCACCCUCCCUGCAUUUGGGGCCUGGAUUGCGCCCGCGGCCUUUGGCCGUGCUGUCCCGCUGCCUGGCUGCUGAGUGUCGUUCCUGCUGCUGGGGGGGAAACCGAGCUCUGUGGCUCCGUGGGUGUUGUCGCCCCGCCUGUAACCAGGGUCUGGGUGCAGGAGCCUUUGUGCUCUGCUGGCAGCCUGUGUACACCAGAAUGGGAGAGAAGGAGCCUCCCUCAGCCUACGGACCAGGGCUGCCCUGUAAGUCAGGGAUUGGCCGUGCCUUGGAGUCCCAGGCCCUUUGCAAUGGAGGCAGCGUCAGGGGACCCCUGUAAGCAGGGAAGUUGACCCUUUGGCUGCUGCUUUUUGUGUGCCCAGCUCCAUUUGCCCAGUCUGCCCGCCUCCGUGACCCUCCGCAGCACCGGCUGGAGCUCCGCAGCGCAUGAGCAUGGAGCUGCUGCAGAACAAAGUAGAUAGUGGAUCCUUGUGGGUAACUUGAGCAAGUAGAGGGAGCUGCAUCUGUGUAGUGUUCUGGCUUUUAUUUGGUCUGUUGUCAUUUUAUUUUCUCUUUUUUUUUUUUACUAAGCUGUAAUUGUUCCUCAUUGUCAUGUAUUAUCCCUCAGAAUAAAAUUUGUUUGCUUGUCUUUGUUGAAA
Gallus gallus (chicken) is the source of this 14728-nucleotide long non-coding RNA. RefSeq lists it as uncharacterized. The record is from RefSeq and is a predicted model, not a curated record. The transcript is spliced from 11 exons. Lineage: Eukaryota; Metazoa; Chordata; Aves; Galliformes; Phasianidae.